This is a non-coding RNA of Camellia sinensis, 258 nucleotides long. NCBI's taxonomy places the organism in Eukaryota, Viridiplantae, Streptophyta, Magnoliopsida, Ericales, Theaceae. The record is from RefSeq and is a predicted model, not a curated record.
AGAUACACUGGUGCGAUUGAUGCAUGCCAGAGGAGGAGUGCAUUGGUUGUGCGUUAAAAUUGAUAUGGUGGACCGUGUAGCCUACCUAUUCGACUCAGUCCCAUCCAACCGACCGAACAAAAGGAAGCUAAAUGCAGCUAAAAUUUUGGUUGAAACUAUGCACGACUUGCUGCAACUACACUUUGGAAAUGAUUAUGUUACAGACGUGCGUAGCUUCCACCGCUGCAUGUUAGAUGAGAGGCCAGUACAACAACUGGA